UGGGGAAUAUUGCACAAUGGGCGCAAGCCUGAUGCAGCCAUGCCGCGUGUGUGAAGAAGGCCUUCGGGUUGUAAAGCACUUUCAGCGGGGAGGAAGGCGAUAAGGUUAAUAACCUUGUCGAUUGACGUUACCCGCAGAAGAAGCACCGGCUAACUCCGUGCCAGCAGCCGCGGUAAUACGGAGGGUGCAAGCGUUAAUCGGAAUUACUGGGCGUAAAGCGCACGCAGGCGGUCUGUCAAGUCGGAUGUGAAAUCCCCGGGCUCAACCUGGGAACUGCAUUCGAAACUGGCAGGCUAGAGUCUUGUAGAGGGGGGUAGAAUUCCAGGUGUAGCGGUGAAAUGCGUAGAGAUCUGGAGGAAUACCGGUGGCGAAGGCGGCCCCCUGGACAAAGACUGACGCUCAGAUGCGAAAGCGUGGGGAGCAAACAGG
RNAcentral lists this ribosomal RNA (429 nucleotides) under Chloroflexota bacterium. RNAcentral's name for it is "Chloroflexi bacterium partial 16S ribosomal RNA". It matches the Rfam family "Bacterial small subunit ribosomal RNA", at positions 355 to 776 of the family's 1533-position model. The record is from RNAcentral. Lineage: Bacteria; Bacillati; Chloroflexota.